AGAGCGAACGCUGGCGGCAGGCCUAACACAUGCAAGUCGAGCGCCCGUAGCAAUACGGGAGCGGCAGACGGGAGAGUAACACGUGGGAACGCGCCCUUCGGUUCGGAAUAACUCAGGGAAACUUGAGCUAAUACCGGAUACGCCCUUACGGGGAAAGAUUUAUUGCUGAAGGAACGGCCCGCGUCCGAUUAGCUAGUUGGUGAGGUAAUGGCUCACCAAGGCGACGAUCGGUAGCUGGUCUGAGAGGAUGACCAGCCUCACUGGGACUGAGACACGGCCCAGACUCCUACGGGAGGCAGCAGUGGGGAAUAUUGGACAAUGGGCGCAAGCCUGAUCCAGCCAUGCCGCGUGGAUGAUGAAGGCCUUAGGGUUGUAAAGUCCGUUUUAACGGGGAAGAUAAUGACGGUACCCGUAGAAUAAGCCCCGGCUAACUUCGUGCCAGCAGCCGC
Molecule: ribosomal RNA, 449 nt
Filed under: uncultured bacterium
Lineage: Bacteria
Description: SSU rRNA
Rfam family: Bacterial small subunit ribosomal RNA
Source: RNAcentral